This 1030-nucleotide ribosomal RNA is filed under the name Lactiplantibacillus plantarum. RNAcentral's name for it is "bacterial SSU rRNA". It matches the Rfam family "Bacterial small subunit ribosomal RNA", at positions 1 to 1039 of the family's 1533-position model. Lineage: Bacteria; Bacillati; Bacillota; Bacilli; Lactobacillales; Lactobacillaceae. The record is from RNAcentral.
AAUGCGGUCCUACAAUGCAGUCGAACGAACUCUGGUAUUGAUUGCUGCUUGCAUCAAGAUUUGCAUUUGAGUGGAUGAAUGACUGGUGACUGCCCGUGGGAAACCUGUAAAUAAGCGGGGGAUAACACCUGGAAACAUAUGCUCAUACCACCUAACAACUUGAACCUCAGGGCCCUAGCUUGAAAAAUGGCUUCGGCUAUCACUUUUGGAUGGUCCCGCAGCGUAUUACCUAGAUGGCGAUCCCACGGCUCACCAUGACAAUGAUACGUAACCGACCUGAGAGGGUAAUCGGCCACAUUGGGACUGAGGCACGGCCCAAACUCCUACGGGAUCAGCACUAGGGAAUCUUCCACAAUGGACGAGAGUCUGAUGGAGCAACGCCGCGUGAGUGAAGAAGGGUUUCGGCUCGUAAAACUCUGUUGUUAACCAAGAACAUAUCUGAUACUAACUGAUCAAGUAUUGACUGUAUUUAACCCAAAAGCCACGGCUAACUACAUGCCGCCAGCCGCGGUAAUACUUACGUGGCAAACGUUGUCCGGAUUUAUUGUGCGUAAAGCGAGCGCAAGCGGUUUUUUACAUCUGAUGUGAAAGCCUUCAGCUCAACCGAAUAAAUGCAUCGAAAACUGGGAAACUUGACUGCAGAAGAGGACAGUGGAACUCCAUGUGUAACGAUGAAAUGCGUAGAUAUAUGGAACAUCACCAAUGACUGACGCUGCUGUCUGGUCUGUAGCUGACGCUGAGGCUCUAAAGUAUGUGUAACACACAGGAUUAGAUACUCUGGUAGUCCAUACCGUACACUAUGAAUGCUAAUUGUUGAACGGUUUCCGCCCUUCAAUGCUGCGGCUAACACAUUAAGCAUUCCGCCAGGCGAGUACGGUCGCAGGGCUGAAACUCAAAGGAAUUGACUGGGGCCCACAUCAGCGGUGGAGCAUGAGCUUUACUUCGAAUCUACGCCACAACCUUAUCAGACAUGACAUACUAUGCUCAUCUACUAGAUUACACGUGCCCUUUCGGGGUGCAUGGCAUACUC